UUCUACCUGUUCUGAACUCUGG
This 22-nucleotide unclassified non-coding RNA is filed under the name Mus musculus (house mouse). RNAcentral's name for it is "oocyte_clustered_small_RNA5354". Lineage: Eukaryota; Metazoa; Chordata; Mammalia; Rodentia; Muridae. The record is from RNAcentral.